Cercocebus atys (sooty mangabey) is the source of this 1259-nucleotide long non-coding RNA. RefSeq lists it as uncharacterized. The record is from RefSeq and is a predicted model, not a curated record. The transcript has 4 exons. Lineage: Eukaryota; Metazoa; Chordata; Mammalia; Primates; Cercopithecidae.
ACUCCCUCUUUCCCUUUCUCCUCCAGCCCCUGACAUCCACCAUUCUACUUUCUGCCUCUAUGAUUUAGACUACAGGUAUCUCGCAUAAGUGGAAUCAUACAAUGUUUGCCUUUUGGGGCUGGUUUAUUUCGCUCAGCAUGAUGCUUUCAUGGUUCAUCCAGGUUGUACUAUUGUGCGUUAAUGCUGGUGUGAACAGGAGUGUACAAUGGAAAGAACCUGCUUCCAAUUAUGUCAAAUAGAUACCCUGAAGUGGAAUUGCUGGUUUGCAUGGUGAAGACCUCCCUCCUGUGACCUCAGCCCUCCUCCUUCCCUGUGCUUCUCCACACCGCCUGCCUUCGCACACAGGAAUCCAGAUUUUUCUGUCUCGACUUCUCUGACAGAAGAUUGCAGUGUCUCCUGGCACACCAGGGGGAAUGUGGCAGAACAGGAGGGGUGAACUUCAGUACUGUAACCAGGCUGGUACUCUAACACCAGCUUUGCACCUUGGUGGCAGCAUGAGCACUUUAGUUAGAGUCCCAAGUUAGACUCUAGUUAGAUGUCUCAACCAUCCCCCCCUCUCUCUGUCACAUGGUGGCUGUCUUUAUUGAAGGGUGAAGGGAAAUUCUCCUAAGAAAUAUAAAGCUCUUCUGGGGUCACCUUCUAAAAACCAUCCAGAAGUGGAUGAGCCUAUCCUUGGGACUUCUUCCUUCACUCAGUUGGCUCCUGCUCCUUCAAGAACUUUUGGGGACAGGAUGAAAGAACUCAAGGCUCCGGGCUUACCCACCACAACUUUGUAACUUUUUUUUUGCCAUAAUGGUCUCCUUAUGCCUCCACUAUGAAAUGACCGGGACUCUCAUGUUUUUUUCUCCUCUCAUUCCUCCUUUUUUCUCUUCAGUAUAAUCUCUCUUUAUUGAGAACUUACUGUAUGCUAGGAACUAUGCUGUAUACCCAUACUACAUCUCAUUUAAUUCUUACAUAUCCCUGUGAAAGAGGUAGUCAUACGAAUACCAUUUUAUAUGUGAGAAAACCAAGGCAUAGAAUAGUUAAAUAAAUUGUCCAGGAUCUUCUAGUUAAAAACUGGCAGAGUCAAGAUUCAGUCUCAGGUCUUUUUGAUGCCCAAACAUAUAUACUUUACCUUUAAAAGUGUGGCUCAUGGAUGCCUGGAGUUUCCUAGGUCCUUUACAGGGUUCUGUGAGAUCAAAACCAUUUUCAUGAUGCUGUUUGCCUUUUUCACUGUGUUGACAUUUACACUGAAGGCACAGCAUCAACGAUGGGUAAAA